This 376-nucleotide ribosomal RNA is filed under the name uncultured bacterium. RNAcentral describes it as "bacterial SSU rRNA". It matches the Rfam family "Bacterial small subunit ribosomal RNA", at positions 524 to 898 of the family's 1533-position model. The record is from RNAcentral.
UACGUAGGUGGCGAGCGUUGUUCGGAUUUAUUGGGCGUAAAGGGUCCGCAGGAGGUUUGUUAAAAUUGGGGUGAAAUCCCGGAGCUCAACUCCGGAACUGCCUUGAUGACUGAUGAACUAGAGUGCUGGAGAGGUAAGCGGAAUACCAGGUGUAGCGGUGGAAUGCGUAGAUAUCUGGUAGAACACCGAUAGCGAAGGCAGCUUACUGGACAGCAACUGACUCUCAUGGACGAAAGCGUGGGGAGCAAACAGGAUUAGAUACCCUGGUAGUCCACGCCGUAAACGUUGUCAACUUGAUGUGGGGGGAUUUAGUCCCCUCCGUAUCGAAGCUAACGCGAUAAGUUGACCGCCUGGGGACUACGGCCGCAAGGCUAAA